RNAcentral lists this ribosomal RNA (390 nucleotides) under uncultured bacterium. RNAcentral's name for it is "bacterial SSU rRNA". It matches the Rfam family "Bacterial small subunit ribosomal RNA", at positions 28 to 419 of the family's 1533-position model. The record is from RNAcentral.
GACGAACGCUGGCGGCGUGCUUAACACAUGCAAGUCGAGCGGUAAGGCCCUUUCGGGGGUACACGAGCGGCGAACGGGUGAGUAACACGUGGGUGACCUGCCCUCAGCUCUGGGAUAAGCCUGGGAAACUGGGUCUAAUACCGGAUAUGACUCCAUGACGCAUGUUGUGGGGUGGAAAGCCUUGUGCGGCUGGGGAUGGGCCCGCGGCCUAUCAGCUUGUUGGUGGGGUGANGGCCUACCAAGGCGACGACGGGUAGCCGGCCUGAGAGGGCGACCGGCCACACUGGGACUGAGAUACGGCCCAGACUCCUACGGGAGGCAGCAGUGGGGAAUCUUGCGCAAUGGGCGAAAGCCUGACGCAGCGACGCCGCGUGAGGGAUGACGGCCUGG